GGGCCCGCACAAGCGGUGGAGCAUGUGGUUUAAUUCGAUGAUACGCGAGGAACCUUACCAGGGCUUAAAUGCAGUCUGACAGGAGUGGAAACACUCUCUUCUUCGGACAGAUUGCAAGGUGCUGCAUGGUUGUCGUCAGCUCGUGCCGUGAGGUGUCAGGUUAAGUCCUAUAACGAGCGCAACCCCUUUCGUUAGUUGCCAGCGAGUCAUGUCGGGAACUCUAGCGAGACUGCCGGUGCAAACCGUGAGGAAGGUGGGGAUGACGUCAAAUCAUCACGGCCCUUACGUCCUGGGCCACACACGUGCUACAAUGGUAGGGACAGAGGGCAGCUACCCCGCGAGGGGAUGCGAAUCUUCAAACCCUAUCACAGUUCGGAUCGCAGUCUGCAACUCGACUGCGUGAAGCUGGAAUCGCUAGUAAUCG
Molecule: ribosomal RNA, 424 nt
Filed under: uncultured bacterium
Lineage: Bacteria
Description: bacterial SSU rRNA
Rfam family: Bacterial small subunit ribosomal RNA
Source: RNAcentral